RNAcentral lists this ribosomal RNA (467 nucleotides) under uncultured bacterium. RNAcentral's name for it is "partial 16S ribosomal RNA". It matches the Rfam family "Bacterial small subunit ribosomal RNA", at positions 28 to 507 of the family's 1533-position model. The record is from RNAcentral.
GACGAACGCUGGCGGCGUGCUUAACGCAUGCAAGUCGAACGGAAAGGCCUCUUUCGGGGGGUACUCGAGUGGCGAACGGGUGAGUAACACGUGAGUAACCUGCCCUUGACUUUGGGAUAACUUCAGGAAACUGGGGCUAAUACCGGAUAGGAGCUCCUGCUGCAUGGUGGGGGUUGGAAAGUUUCGGCGGUUGGGGAUGGACUCGCGGCUUAUCAGCUUGUUGGUGGGGUAGUGGCUUACCAAGGCUUUGACGGGUAGCCGGCCUGAGAGGGUGACCGGCCACAUUGGGACUGAGAUACGGCCCAGACUCCUACGGGAGGCAGCAGUGGGGAAUAUUGCACAAUGGGUGGAAGCCUGAUGCAGCAACGCCGUGUGCGGGAUGACGGCCUUCGGGUUGUAAACCGCUUUCGCUCAUGACGAAGCUUUGUGUGACGGUAGUGGGUAAAGAAGCACCGGCUAACUACGUG